ACGUCACCGGUUACGGUACCGACACUGGUGAGCAUAUUGGAGAAGCACUUGAAGAUGAAAGCAAAGAGGAAAAUUGUGGAUAUGCCUGGAAACGGUGACGUACCAUUCACGCACGCGAAUAUUAGCUUAGCCCGAAGAGAACUCGGAUAUAAACCGACUACUGAUUUGCAAACCGGAUUGAAGAAGUUUGUUAAAUGGUAUCUCUCGUUUUACGGCUACAAUC
This 223-nucleotide unclassified non-coding RNA is filed under the name Hevea brasiliensis (rubber tree). Lineage: Eukaryota; Viridiplantae; Streptophyta; Magnoliopsida; Malpighiales; Euphorbiaceae. The record is from RNAcentral.